Molecule: transfer RNA, 67 nt
Filed under: Psyttalia lounsburyi
Lineage: Eukaryota; Metazoa; Arthropoda; Insecta; Hymenoptera; Braconidae
Description: tRNA-Asn
Source: RNAcentral
UUAAUUGAAACCAAAAAUUGAGGUAAAUUACUGUUAAUAAUUUUAUUGAAUUAAGAUUCCAAUUAAA